RNAcentral lists this ribosomal RNA (189 nucleotides) under Listeria monocytogenes. RNAcentral's name for it is "partial 16S ribosomal RNA". It matches the Rfam family "Bacterial small subunit ribosomal RNA", at positions 1 to 184 of the family's 1533-position model. The record is from RNAcentral. Lineage: Bacteria; Bacillati; Bacillota; Bacilli; Caryophanales; Listeriaceae.
UUUAAAGAGAGUUUGAUCCUGGCUCAGGACGAACGCUGGCGGCGUGCCUAAUACAUGCAAGUCGAACGAACGGAGGAAGAGCUUGCUCUUCCAAAGUUAGUGGCGGACGGGUGAGUAACACGUGGGCAACCUGCCUGUAAGUUGGGGAUAACUCCGGGAAACCGGGGCUAAUACCGAAUGAUAGAAUGU